Long non-coding RNA from Ipomoea nil (Japanese morning glory), 94 nucleotides. RefSeq lists it as uncharacterized. The record is from RefSeq and is a predicted model, not a curated record. The transcript has 4 exons. Lineage: Eukaryota; Viridiplantae; Streptophyta; Magnoliopsida; Solanales; Convolvulaceae.
GGCAAAAUCUCUCACGGGUAAGUCUCUCGACGUCUCUGUCAAUGUCGUGCACAAACACGUGCGUCUUUGAGUUGGCUGCGCCAGGCUUGAUCCG